CUCUUCCUUCAAUUGGGUCGUUUCCCUGUCACUCAAGAGAGGCCGGGCCCAGCAGCCGGGGAAAACGCCGGCGGUCCCCGCCCCCUAGCGGAGGCCUGUUAAAGAAACAGGCCGCAUUUCCCCCUGCGGGCUGUGGGGUCUGGAGGAACCGGAUCUCUCAGCAAAUGCAAGAGGCAGCAUAUUUUUUUUUUUUUUUAACUUUUCUCUUGGCACAGCCCUGGAGCGAAGGAAAAGACUUUGGUUCCUUGUGACAAAGUAGACGUCUUGAGGGCUAAGCUGUCCUCUGGUGGCACUCAACCGUGUGCCCAGCGAGCAUGUAACUUACACUCAACAAUGGGGAUAACUGAGUGGGAGGUGACAGUCGUGUCAGAGGCUGUGAGCAGCCGUGGCUGCUCACCACCGAGAUGAAGCUAAUUAUACCGGCACCCAGGGCUGACCGUGGGCGCCGAGCAGAGGCAGAGGGGUACAGCUGAGCUGUACUGUUGGUAGAGACCCGUGGGAGGAGGUAUUCGUCACUGCACCUGCGGAUCGGAACGAGGCCGGGCACCGCGCCAAGGCCUCGCUCCUGCUAUCUCCCUUUAUACUCACAGGAAUCCUGAUGGAGGUAUUAUGCGGAUCACCUUGUUACAGAUGAGGAAGCUGAUGUUCUGAGAGGGCCAAAGAUCAUACAGCUAGUGAUGGGCAGAGCAAGACGCCAGCCUGUGCCUGUUUGAGUCCAAAGGUUAUCCUUUAACUGUUUCGUCUCACAGAUCCCUACAAGUCCCAGGCGUCACGUGGCUGCCCAGCCAAGCUUCACUUCCCAGCCCCGCUUGCCGUUAAGAUCUGCCAGAAAAAAGAGAGAGAGAGAGAAACAAUAAGGAAAAAACUACCUCAUCUUCUCAUCACCAAACCCACCAGUCUGCCUGCGUCAGCACCCAAAUGCUCCGCCUUUCCUCCUGUGACCACAAAUGCACCUUCUCUGAUCCUCUGUAAGGCAAUCCUG
Molecule: long non-coding RNA, 982 nt
Filed under: Equus asinus (donkey)
Lineage: Eukaryota; Metazoa; Chordata; Mammalia; Perissodactyla; Equidae
Description: lncRNA (ENSEASG00005032800.1)
Source: RNAcentral